This 830-nucleotide long non-coding RNA is filed under the name Setaria italica (foxtail millet). RNAcentral's name for it is "long non-coding RNA (SITA_LNC004130)". Lineage: Eukaryota; Viridiplantae; Streptophyta; Magnoliopsida; Poales; Poaceae. The record is from RNAcentral.
CGGGGUACAGAGGAAAUAUCAGCAUGCUUUGCUGCACUCUCUCUUUUGAUGGGACGUCUUUCAGAAGUAGAAGGCCGGCGUGGUGUGGUAACAUUGACUUGCUUCUGUGCAUGAUCUCGGGUGACUGGGCGUCUCUCAGCAGUGGAAGGUCGUCGUGGGGUGGAAACAACAGCAGGGGUCUUUGAAUUUGCCUUCGCAAUGGGGUGCUGCUCUCCAGUAGAGGGCCGUUGCGCACCUGCUGAGGAAGGUCUUCUGAGACCUGUAAGCUUGCUCCUUUCUGGAGUGCCAGCCAUCUUCUGGGGUGCUGCAUUUGGCCUUUGCACCGGCUUAGUCUUCUGGUUCAUACUUGUACUGGGCUUCACUGAACCAGGCCUCUGAAAUGAUUCAUGUAAGUGUUAUGAAUUUACCAAAAAAUUCAUGUUGGUGGGCAUAUAAAAGCAAAACAUGCACUCAUCUAGGUAGUUGGCUACAAUUCAGCGUAGAGGAACAGAAAUGUUGAAAGAAGGUAUGCCAAAUCAAAACAAACUGCACCUACAUUGCUAGUAUGUAAUGUCAUACCUCAGAAGUUUAUAAUUUGGUAGUAGAUGGCAACAAAGUUUUCUAUAAGACAAACGAAUACAGAACCAAAAUCUGUGCUAUUACCUCACUAGCAAAUGUGUAAUCCAUAGCACUUUUCGAAAGGUUUCUGAUGGAUUUUGGUAUCAUCUUUGGAGUAUGUCUGAGCCUGGAAUCUUUCUCAAUGGUUCUUCUGGGAGUCCUCGUAGCUUCAUAUGCUGUUCUAUUAUCAUCAUGACCAGAACUCGUGUUCUGUUGCCCCACAUCCAUUUUGC